AGAGCGGACGCUGGCGGCAGGCCUAAUACAUGCAAGUCGAACGGACCCUUCGGGGUUAGUGGCGGACGGGUGAGUAACACGUGGGAACGUGCCCUUUGGUUCGGAACAACUCAGGGAAACUUGAGCUAAUACCGAAUGUGCCCCCAUCCUUAAACAAGAUGGGUGGGAAAGAUUUAUCGCCAUUGGAGCGGCCCGCGUCUGAUUAGCUAGUUGGUGAGGUAAAGGCUCACCAAGGCGACGAUCAGUAGCUGGUCUGAGAGGAUGAUCAGCCACACUGGGACUGAGACACGGCCCAGACUCCUACGGGAGGCAGCAGUAGGGAAUCUUGCGCAAUGGGCGAAAGCCUGACGCAGCCAUGCCGCGUGAAUGAUGAAGGUCUUAGGAUUGUAAAAUUCUUUCAGCGGGGACGAUAAUGACGGUACCCGCAGAAGAAGCCCCGGCUAACUUCGUGCCAGCAGCCGC
RNAcentral lists this ribosomal RNA (462 nucleotides) under uncultured bacterium. RNAcentral describes it as "SSU rRNA". It matches the Rfam family "Bacterial small subunit ribosomal RNA", at positions 26 to 518 of the family's 1533-position model. The record is from RNAcentral.